Long non-coding RNA from Acipenser ruthenus (sterlet), 1484 nucleotides. RefSeq lists it as uncharacterized. Lineage: Eukaryota; Metazoa; Chordata; Actinopteri; Acipenseriformes; Acipenseridae. The record is from RefSeq and is a predicted model, not a curated record. The transcript has 4 exons.
UAAGGGCAAAAGCUGCCUGUUUCCACGCCCUCACAUUCAAACUGAAAACUGCGCGCCAAGGUUUUGCAGCAGAACAGAUUUGGAAUGAAAAAGAGAAAUGCCUCCCAGAAAGCGUAGGAAGUGUACUUCGGUCACUGUGAAAAAUCAUGCAGAAAAAGCUCAUGCUACAUCAGCAACCCCUGCUGCUUGUUCAGAAAGCGACACUGCUUCCCCACUGCCACAGGCAUGCCCGCCUUCCUCCAGCACAGUCGCUGUGUCACUUCAGCAUCCACCUGUAUCACUGGCUGUGCCUCGCCCAGCUGUAAUACCCGACAGCAUGGCUACACCACAAGUAUUUGCUGAAGUCGAGAGCCUUCUCCCUCUUUCUUUCAACAAGAGAAAGAAAAGGAGAAGCCUGCGAUUUAGGUGUGGGCAUCGGCAAGUUGGCAGUAAGGAUGAUUCCUUUUGACAGGAUCGCAGUUUUGGAGGGCUCGAUCACAACCAAAGAUGUUGCCAUUGGAAAGCUUCAUGAAUUUAAGUAUGUUUCUUUACUGUUUUACACUAGUGAUGAAAAACGCAGGUGUACUGUAACCAAAACGUUAAAUUACAUCAAAUCUGUAACAAAAAAUACACGAUGAAUAUGAAAUAUAGAAAAAGUAAAAUCAGACCAAAAUAUUUCCUAUGUACAAAACAAUAAAGUUAGAAAGAGGGGUCAACCAGAGAAAGAUAUGAUUGCAAUCAAAUGUGCGAAAUUGUAAAAAUAAAGUCAACAGAAGACUUAAUUAAACUAUAUAUUUUACCUCUCCAGUUUUUUAUGAAUGGCACUCAUUUUGUGGAAGCACAAUUAUAUCAUAUUAAAUAUAGAAGGCAGGAUUUGCACUCUGCCUUUACCCGCUAUGCCACUUGUGAGCCACAAAUUAUUAUUUUUAAAGUGUAAAGGUACACUUUAAAACUUCUAAAUAGACUUGCAGAUUUUCUCAGGGUGAUUUUUUCCGCUGGGCAUCUCAAUAUUUUUUUGUUUUUAUUUACAUACCAUUACAAGAUAAAAUGUUAGGAGCUAAAAACAAUCCUCAUUAAAUAUUGGGUAAAAUCAGUGUCUGAGGCUAAAAGCAGCUUACAUAAAACCACAUGCCUGGUUUAUUGAGUAUUGCAGUACUAAUUGUAUUAUUCAUUAUUUAAAAAAAAAAAAAUAUAUAUAUAUAUAUAUAUAUAUAUUUUUUUUUUUAUUUCUCGAUGGCAUCAAGAAUACAACAGACCAAAUUAAAGAAAGUGCUACGGACUUUGACAUGGCUACUCAUCGACUGGGCUUUCAAAUGCUUGAUGUUUACAGUUCUGUACUUCAAAAAUGUGCCGAUUCCCAGAUAGAAAAACUGCAGAAUGUGUAGUUUUAGAUGACACUGAAAAUAAGGCAUCCUUUGCAUAUAUGUUCAUUAUUUUAAAAAAGGGCUUGUUCAAAACAUUAAGAACAUUUCUAAGCAAAGAAAACCUAAAAUAGCAUUUUAUGU